Molecule: ribosomal RNA, 357 nt
Filed under: uncultured bacterium
Lineage: Bacteria
Description: bacterial SSU rRNA
Rfam family: Bacterial small subunit ribosomal RNA
Source: RNAcentral
AACGAACGCUGGCGGCAUGCCUAACACAUGCAAGUCGAACGAGACCUUCGGGUCUAGUGGCGCACGGGUGCGUAACGCGUGGGAACCUGCCUUUAGGUUCGGAAUAACUCAGAGAAAUUUGAGCUAAUACCGGAUAAUGUCUUCGGACCAAAGAUUUAUCGCCUUUAGAUGGGCCCGCGUAAGAUUAGCUAGUUGGUGGGGUAAAGGCCUACCAAGGCGACGAUCUUUAGCUGGUCUGAGAGGAUGAUCAGCCACACUGGGACUGAGACACGGCCCAGACUCCUACGGGAGGCAGCAGUGGGGAAUAUUGGACAAUGGGGGGCAACCCCUGACUCCACGCCAUGCCGCGUGAGUGAU